Molecule: small nuclear RNA, 103 nt
Organism: Sarcophilus harrisii (Tasmanian devil)
Lineage: Eukaryota; Metazoa; Chordata; Mammalia; Dasyuromorphia; Dasyuridae
Source: Ensembl
UUACUUCAGCAGCAGAUAAUUUUAAAAUUGGAACAAUACACAGAAAAUUAGUAUGGCCCCGUUCAAGAGUGACAUGCAAAUUCAUGAAGUCUUCCAUAUUUUA